UACGUAGGUGGCAAGCGUUAUCCGGAUUUACUGGGUGUAAAGGGCGUGUAGGCGGGGACGCAAGUCAGAUGUGAAAACCACGGGCUCAACCAUUGUAUGCAUUGGAAACUACCGGGCUGGAGUGCCGGAGAGGUAGGCGGAAUUCCUGGUGUAGCGGUGAAAUGCGUAGAUAUCAGGAGGAACACCAGUGGCGAAGGCGGCCUACUGGACGGUGACUGACGCUGAGGCUCGAAAGCGUGGGGAGCAAACAGG
RNAcentral lists this ribosomal RNA (252 nucleotides) under uncultured bacterium. RNAcentral describes it as "partial 16S ribosomal RNA". It matches the Rfam family "Bacterial small subunit ribosomal RNA", at positions 524 to 776 of the family's 1533-position model. The record is from RNAcentral.